This 570-nucleotide ribosomal RNA is filed under the name bacterium tet-w-8. RNAcentral describes it as "bacterial SSU rRNA". It matches the Rfam family "Bacterial small subunit ribosomal RNA", at positions 49 to 614 of the family's 1533-position model. The record is from RNAcentral.
CUACACAUGCAGUCGAGCGGAGCGAGGGUGCUUGCACCUUAGCUUAGCGGCGGACGGGUGAGUAAUGCUUAGGAAUCUGCCUAUUAGUGGGGGACAACAUUCCGAAAGGAAUGCUAAUACCGCAUACGCCCUACGGGGGAAAGCAGGGGAUCUUCGGACCUUGCGCUAAUAGAUGAGCCUAAGUCGGAUUAGCUAGUUGGUGGGGUAAAGGCCUACCAAGGCGACGAUCUGUAGCGGGUCUGAGAGGAUGAUCCGCCACACUGGGACUGAGACACGGCCCAGACUCCUACGGGAGGCAGCAGUGGGGAAUAUUGGACAAUGGGCGGAAGCCUGAUCCAGCCAUGCCGCGUGUGUGAAGAAGGCCUUUUGGUUGUAAAGCACUUUAAGCGAGGAGGAGGCUACUAGUAUUAAUACUACUGGAUAGUGGACGUUACUCGCAGAAUAAGCACCGGCUAACUCUGUGCCAGCAGCCGCGGUAAUACAGAGGGUGCGAGCGUUAAUCGGAUUUACUGGGCGUAAAGCGUGCGUAGGCGGCUUUUUAAGUCGGAUGUGAAAUCCCCGAGCUUAACU